UACCAAUUGAGGAUACCAUCUGCCUAGCUGGUCUAUUGUGAAGUUUAAAUGAAAAAAGCUGGGUUAAUGUCAUCCUCUCAUUUAAGACACAGCUGAAACAUCACCUCCUCCAGGAAGCCUUCCCAUCUGAAUGCGAUACCCUCUCUGGGCCCCCGAUACCCCCAUGGCUUUGGAAACUGCCGGCCUCUAUCACUGGAUUCAGAGCACCUUCAAGGGAGGACAUCGGACUAAUGUCUGGGUCCCCCAGCGUGUGACUUAAGUGCAGGGCCCUGCACACAGUGGGUGCUUACUGAAGGCUGACAGACUGACUUGGCACAUGGAAGACCAGACCAGAUUGUCCUCCAUGCCCUCUAGCUGACCACACGGCAGGAAAGCAUGCAGGGGAGUGGCCUCUGGCCACCAGAUGGCACCCCUAGCCAUGCAAUGGCUCCAUCGGGGCUGGGUUGGGUGCUAGGGGAGCGAGGGGGAGGGCUGCAAUGGGUAACUCUCCCUACCACCCCCACCCCCAGCCCACACAGGCCACCAGGGGUCAGCAGCCCAGGCCACUCUUUCACUUCCCCUUGCCUGAUCCCUGGCAGACCCUAGCAGACUGAAUGUCUGGCUGGAUAGGAGAACGGAGCAGGUGUGCUCCAGGGGAUCCCCAAAGCAUGAGUGAAGGGUAAGAAAGUGAAGGGAGGGUCUCCUAGGGGAUCCCCACAAUGCAGCCAUUGCUUCUGAGUCAGCGAAAGUGACCUCCACUUCCUGCUUGGCUGCCUAGGUGGAGAUUGGUGCUUUAAUUAGCACCUCGGGGUGUGUGCUCCAACCUGGAAGAACAGGAAUCCGGGGUGCUUGGCAGCUCUGUGGGGCAGAGAACCCCACCUUGGGCUGAGACCCUGGGUGCACCAUCUAGCUCUGCCGGUCCUUAGCGGUGUGAGCUUGAGCAGGUGUGUCACCUCUGAGCUUUAACGUGUCCCAGCGCCGAUUCACCAAGGACCUGCUGCUUCAGCCAGGCAGACUGGGCGAGGCGUCUUCAUGGGCAUUUAUCUCUUGGAAGCCUUCCAGCCGUCCAAGGGGUGGUGACGGCACCUUGCUUAACAGAUGGAGCCAGCUGGCCUUCCCAGAUGCAGUCUGACCCCUCCUGCUUGCAAAGGGGCCUGGGCAUAGGUCCCGCCAGGUGGCCCCGGCAGCCCUGGGUUGGAGCUCAGCACUGGCUUCUGGUGCUCACUGUUGCUUUGUACUGUCCCCGGCAUCUGCCCUCCGUCAGUGGCAGGAGCAUCCACAAUCAGGGGUCAGGAGAGGUGAUUCCUGAAGGUCCACCCCUGAGGUCCCCAGCUCUGUCCCCUGGCCAGGGAGUCUUGGAGUGCUAAGGGCCUCUGCCUUCCCACCGCCUCAGCGCCAGAGCUACAGGAUCCAGUGCAUUCUGGGGCCACCCUUGUGGGAGGUCAUCUGCCAGCUGAUCCAUUCACCUCGCUCAGCUGUCACCUCUGUAUCCAGGCCCUGGAGGGGGGAUGGCUCAGGGUCCUAUUGGGAGGCCCUCCUUCCAGAUCUCUGCUUUGACUCCCAGCUCUAUGCGUGGGGGGUCUUCCAUGACCCACCUUAGACAUUCCAAUUAGGGUCAGGCCCUUCCCAGCUCCCCCUGGUCCCGGGAGAACAGCCCAGCUUCGUUACGACACACCGUUGCUUGCUGACUUCUCUGUCUGCUUCCACAGAUGGGGACCCCAGGGGCAAGAACCAGGCCUCAUCUAGUCGUCUCCUCCCAUACUACCCAGAUGGGCACAUGGCAAACCUCGGAUAGCGUUCACCGACUGACUGUGAUGGCAACAGCUGAGACAAAAUCAAGCCCGAGGCCCUUCACGACUGCCGCCAUGACGCUGGCCCUGCCCACUGGCUUUUGCCCUCCCACGCGGGAGCCUGAUGAAGCGAGACGCCUGCGCCAGGAGG
Myotis davidii is the source of this 1920-nucleotide long non-coding RNA. RefSeq lists it as uncharacterized. NCBI's taxonomy places the organism in Eukaryota, Metazoa, Chordata, Mammalia, Chiroptera, Vespertilionidae. The transcript is spliced from 2 exons. The record is from RefSeq and is a predicted model, not a curated record.